AUGGAGAGUUUGAUCCUGGCUCAGGACGAACGCUGGCGGCGUGCUUAAUACAUGCAAGUCAACUGAACACAGAGUAGCAAUAUUCUGUGGGAGGUGGCGCACGGGUGCGUAACACGUAGGUAAUCUACCCUUAGGACUGACAUAAUACCGAGAAAUCGGUACUAAUAUCAGAUGAUGCAGCGGCUCCGCAUGGAGACAGUUGUUAAAGCUACGGCGCCUAAGGAUGAGCCUGCGGCCCAUUAGGUAGUUGGCGGGAUAACAGCCCACCAAGCCAACGAUGGGUAGCUGGUCUGAGAGGAUGAUCAGCCACACUGGAACUGAGACACGGUCCAGACUCCUACGGGAGGCAGCAGUAAGGAAUAUUGCUCAAUGGCCGAAAGGCUGAAGCAGCAACGCCGCGUGAAGGAUGAAGGGAUUUUUCUUGUAAACUUCUGUAAAAAAGGAAAAAUAAUUCGAUUUAUCGAAGAUGAUUGUACUUUUGAAGUAAGCACCGGCUAACUACGUGCCAGCAGCCGCGGUAAUACGUAGGGUGCAAGCGUUGUCCGGAUUUACUGGGUGUAAAGGGUGCUCAGGCGGAUUUGUAAGUCAGAGGUGAAAUCUCACAGCUUAACUGUGAAACUGCCUUUGAUACUGCAAGUCUAGAGUUAUGGAGAGGGUGAUGGAAUUCCGCGUGUAGCAGUGAAAUGCGUAGAUAUGCGGAGGAACACCGAUGGCG
RNAcentral lists this ribosomal RNA (715 nucleotides) under Ignavibacteria bacterium. RNAcentral describes it as "bacterial SSU rRNA". It matches the Rfam family "Bacterial small subunit ribosomal RNA", at positions 1 to 717 of the family's 1533-position model. The record is from RNAcentral. Lineage: Bacteria; Pseudomonadati; Ignavibacteriota; Ignavibacteria.